GACGAACGCUGGCGGCGUGCUUAACACAUGCAAGUCGAACGGAAAGGCCUUUUCGGAGGUACUCGAGUGGCGAACGGGUGAGUAACACGUGGGUGAUCUGCCCUGCACUCUGGGAUAAGCCUGGGAAACUGGGUCUAAUACCGGAUAGGACCGCACUUUAGUGUGUGUGGUGGCAAGUUUUUUCGGUGUAGGAUGAGCCCGCGGCCUAUCAGCUUGUUGGUGGGGUAAUGGCCUACCAAGGCGGCGACGGGUAGCCGGACUGAGAGGUUGGUCGGCCACAUUGGGACUGAGAUACGGCCCAGACUCCUACGGGAGGCAGCAGUGGGGAAUAUUGCACAAUGAGCGCAAGCCUGAUGCAGCGACGCCGCGUGGGGGAUGACGGCCUUCGGGUUGUAAACUCCUUUCGCCAGGGACGAAGCGUUUUGUGACGGUACCUGGAGAAGAAGCACCGGCUAACUACGUG
RNAcentral lists this ribosomal RNA (463 nucleotides) under uncultured bacterium. Its description in RNAcentral is "partial 16S ribosomal RNA". It matches the Rfam family "Bacterial small subunit ribosomal RNA", at positions 28 to 507 of the family's 1533-position model. The record is from RNAcentral.